Non-coding RNA from Acanthosepion pharaonis, 108 nucleotides. Lineage: Eukaryota; Metazoa; Mollusca; Cephalopoda; Sepiida; Sepiidae. The record is from the annotation of a GenBank genome assembly.
UUACGGCCAUACCACGUUGAAAUACCAGUUCUCAUCCAAACACUGAAGUUAAGCUACGUUGAACCUGGAAAGUACCUAGAUGGGUGAUCGCUGGCGAACUUCAGAUGC